Molecule: ribosomal RNA, 248 nt
Filed under: uncultured bacterium
Lineage: Bacteria
Description: partial 16S ribosomal RNA
Rfam family: Bacterial small subunit ribosomal RNA
Source: RNAcentral
UACGGAGGGUGCGAGCGUUGUCCGGAAUCACUGGCGUAAAGGGCGCGUAGGCGGCCUGAUAAGUAGGGGUGAAAUCCUGCGGCUUAACCGCAGGGCUGCCUUCUAAACUGUCGGCUAGAGCACGGUAGAGGCAGAUGGAAUUCCGGUGUAGCGGUGGAAUGCGUAGAGAUCGGGAAGACAUCAGUGGCGAAGGCGGUCUGCUGGGCCGUUGCUGACGCUGAGGCGCGACAGCGUGGGGAGCAAACAGG